Molecule: long non-coding RNA, 1090 nt
Organism: Lathyrus oleraceus (garden pea)
Lineage: Eukaryota; Viridiplantae; Streptophyta; Magnoliopsida; Fabales; Fabaceae
Exons: 4
Source: RefSeq, a predicted model, not a curated record
GGUCUGAAGUUAGUUAGAGAAGGAUUGGAAUUAGUUAGUGUUGACUCACUGAGUUAAGUGAGGACUCAAUUAGUUAGUGAAGCUGAAACUCAGUUAGUGAUGUUGAGAUGACACUGCCUUUAUUUAUGUUGGCUGAACUUGUUGAUGUUAUUACUUGAAAUCAAAACUUUCAUUUAUUAACUUAACUACUACUGAUAACGUUUUGGAAUACUAUUAUAUCCUCUUUGUUGCUUGCAGGUUCGAAUCAGUUGGAAACUUCUAGAAAAAGCUGUCAAUCCAAUUAGUCAGGAAACCGUUCUGUCAGUAGAAGCUUGCCCAAUUCAGUUAGGUUGUGGCUUUGAAUCAUGUUAAUGGAGGUUAGGUGGAUAUUGGAAAGGGCCUCCAAAGGCUUUCUAGAAGCAUUCCAACUGCAGUUGCUGAUGAUUUUUCUCAGGUUAAUGGUUAAAUCAAUGGAAGCUAGUUAGUGAAACCGGUUAGCUAUAUCUAGAAAGCAGAAUGCAGAUUGGGCAAUGAAGUGCAGGUUGAGUUGGCGGUUAACUGAACUUAUGUACAGAAAGUGGUGAUUCAAUUGGCGGUGUUAGGGUGAUGUACAGGUUUGGGAGCUUGUCGCUUUCUAAUGCAUCAUCGGCAGAUGAAAGGGAUAACCCAAUGACACCACCAGACUUGAUUGGACUGUGUAGUUCUGUGACAAGCAACCUGUGGAGUUUCAUUCUCACAAGUACUAUCGGUAACUGGGUUCCAAAGAGUGUUUGCAGAGUGUUGUAAUCCCUUGUGCAAGAAGCAGAAUUUGCAUCACCCUUACUUUAUCCCCAUUCGUUCCACCCAUCAAAGGCACAAGAAAUAUGUGUUGAAAAGAUGGUACCUGGUGUAUUUUAAUUUAUGGACAUGCGCACGUGAAAUUAUUACGGGAUUUGUAAAGAACAAUAACGGUUGAUAUUUGUAAUGUACAGUUUGUGUAAUGCAUUUGAAAUGGUAUAGGAUGAAUCAAGGAUUAGUGUUCAAAUUGAAUGCAACCAUGGCUGUAAUAUAUAAAUGAUAGAAUUGGAAUGGUAUUGUACAUGAAUUUCUAAUGGCUUUAGGAUUUAGUUUA